RNAcentral lists this ribosomal RNA (372 nucleotides) under uncultured eukaryote. RNAcentral's name for it is "SSU rRNA". It matches the Rfam family "Eukaryotic small subunit ribosomal RNA", at positions 587 to 972 of the family's 1831-position model. The record is from RNAcentral.
AGCUCCAAUAGCGUAUACUAAUGUUGUUGCAGUUAAAAAGCUCGUAGUCGGAUUUCUGUUUAUUUACAUUUGAUCAUUUUUGGUUUUGAUGUGAAUUUACUUUAUGCAAGAAACUUUCAUAUUAUUCAUUUGAUAUGUUUUGGGACUUGCUCAUUUACUUUGAGAAAAUUAGAGUGUUCAAAGCAGGUAUUUGCCUGAAUAUUACUCUUGGAAUAAUAAUAUAGGACUUCAGUUCUAGUUUGUUGGUGAUCUGGAACCGGAGUAAUGAUUGAUAGGGACAGUUGGGGUCAUUCAUACUGCAAAGCGAGAGGUGGAAUUCUUGGACCUUUGUAUGAUGAACAACUGCGAAAGCAUUUGACUAGGAUGUUCCCA